CAGCCUUCUCUAGCCCACCCAAGUUUCCAUCAAAGGAGCAAGCCUAUGUCAGUAAGAAAAAAGCUGGCUAACCCUCCCACCCCUUGUUUAACUCCUCCAGCCCAUCCCACAUCAUUGUAGAGUGAAGAGACUGCGGGUAAUAUUCAGAAAGAGGCGCAGAGAACUGAAGGCUUUCCUGACUUGACACCGAAUAAUAACGAAGGCCUGUGUGCUUUGCAGCAGCCCCCACGUCACCCUCUUCCAGGGCUCCGUCAGAGGACUAACGAUAUGCCACAAGAUGAUUGGCAGCAAGACACACCCAGUGAUGAAGGGAUGUGCUCUCCUUAAAUCACAGCCUAUUCAUCAGGUACUCCUGAGUGCUGUGUUAAGAAAUCCUGCCUACAAAGUUCCACUGAGGCUGAUAUAAAGAUGACUGUGAGAAACUGGCUGCGGCUGUCUGAGCAGAGACAGGAAUGGGGGCGGCAAAGGCGGGACAAGCAAGCAUCUUAAGUGAAAUAAUUGAUUGGACUGAUUCUGGAGUAGGACUUAUUCUGGAGGGAAUUUCUUAUUUUUGUUGCAGUUUGCUAUGGGACGGUUUCAAGGACAGGGAUUAGACUAGUUCUAGACUAAAAUAAAUGUAAGAGCUGUCCAAACUGAAAACAACUUGCACUGACAUAUCAUAAAAUACAUCAGUGUCUUUUGUGAUGCUUCAAAAUGCACACAAGUAAUGUUUUUAUUAAGACAUGUUAUUAAAACUAGUUAUAUUUCAGAAUUAAACUAAGGCCUAGUCCCGGUUUAAGAUAAUCCCUGUCCGGGAAACCACCCCAAAGUGUAAUUUGUGGAGUGUUAAAAUAAAUGAAACUGCCUUUGCAAAAACAAAGUAAAAAAAAAUUCCAGAUGCCCUUCUGUUUUGUUAUUUCUCCUGGAAAACUCACUGAUCCAUUUUUUUCUGUUAGACUG
This is a non-coding RNA of Misgurnus anguillicaudatus (oriental weatherfish), 939 nucleotides long. The record is from RefSeq and is a predicted model, not a curated record. Lineage: Eukaryota; Metazoa; Chordata; Actinopteri; Cypriniformes; Cobitidae.